Salvelinus sp. IW2-2015 is the source of this 1401-nucleotide long non-coding RNA. RefSeq lists it as uncharacterized. The record is from RefSeq and is a predicted model, not a curated record. Lineage: Eukaryota; Metazoa; Chordata; Actinopteri; Salmoniformes; Salmonidae.
GAAGAGUUACCGAGGGUGGGAGAGAGACAGUUCUGCCGAGGCUUGUUCCUGCUGCUCCUGGUCGCUGUCAGUAUUACAGCGGAGUUCAGAGCUACCGGAGGUCCCGUGGAUAAUUAGGCUACUCUACAGUCUGACCGAAAAAAACGUCUAACUGACAACAGUAGCAGAAACUUCCCACCCUAUACCUCUGUUUUCCCCAGGAGCUGGACACAAGCUAAUUGAGACGAUGCUUUUCUGUCUGCUGCCUUUCGCGGCUCUCUUGCUGCGUGCGGAGGGCAGGCGCGGGGGAACCGUGGUUGGUAACAAAAACAUUGGCCACGCGUUGGACAACGACAAAUGGCUCAGCACCGUGUCUCAAUACGACAAGGACAGAUAUUGGAACAAAUUCAGAGAUGACACUGGAUGAUAGUGAUGUGCGGUUCGCCAACCAUUUGUUCAUUUUGACCUAAUCUUUUUACUGACUCGAGUCAUCCCAGCAAAAUUGGUUCUGUGAUGGUUCCCAGAACAUCCAUUCAUCAUAACACAAAAACUGUCCAGUCGUGGUGAUGAUUAUAGAAUGUUUGUGUAAAACUGACGUCGCAAGAACCUUCCUGGAACACAUUUAAUCCGUUUUUUUUAAAGGAUCCCAGAAUGUUUCAUUAGGUUGUGGGAACAGUCUGGUGGGAACAUUGUGGGGACAUCACAAAAGAUAGGUUCUCAAAACCCCCAAAUAUCCAGUUGUCCGGAUGAUUAUACAAUGUUUCUUUUAGGGUGCAAAGACAUUCAUCUGGUCUUACAAGAACGUUCCCAGAACACAUUUAGUCUAUUCUUUAAAGGUUCCCAAAACGUUUCAUUAGGUUGUGGGAACAGUGUGGCGACAUUGCACGAGAUAGUUUCCCAAAACACAAAAUAUGCUCACUUCUGAUGACGUUCAUACAAUGUUUAAGUUAGUUUACACAGGUCAUUCCCUUAAUGUUGUAAGUCUGUUUUUAUAUAUCCAGUCAGAAAUGCAGAAUUUAGACUAACUGUAAAAGAUAAAACAUUGUGUAAAAUUGACUGGAUACCUUGUAAAUAUGGGCCUAGAAGUAUGCAGCACAUAGAGGAUGGGUGAAGGGAUGGUGAAUAACCCACUUUCCAGUAUUUCCCUGGGUUAUUUAUGUCUAAGAAAGCUAAAAAGGUAGCAUGCAAUUCCUGAUUGACCAUACUGCCAUGGCUAUAUACUGCCAAAAGAUAAAGAAGGAGAGCUUCCCUGGUGGUGCAGAGGAUAAAAGACCUGGCAUGGGAACCAAACAUUGCAGGUUCAAGCCCUACAUGUGAAUUUUAUCAAUAAAACAUCUGCUUGUGUUUGUAUGAUUUAAAUGCUGUUCAAAAGUCCUAUGAAUUAAAUUACAGUACCUUCAGAAAGUACUAACACCCCUUGAC